GACGAACCGUGCGAACGUUAUUCGGAAUCACUGGGCUUAAAGCGCGUGUAGGCGGAUGGGUACGUCGGUCGCUGAAAUCCCCCGGCUCAACCGGGGAACGGGCGCCGAAACGCCCCGUCUCGAGGGACGUAGGGGGACCUGGAACUUCCGGUGGAGCGGUGAAAUGCGUUGAGAUCGGAAGGAACGCCCGUGGCGAAAGCGAGGUCCUGGACGUCUUCUGACGCUGAGACGCGAAAGCUAGGGGAGCGAACGGG
RNAcentral lists this ribosomal RNA (254 nucleotides) under uncultured bacterium. RNAcentral's name for it is "partial 16S ribosomal RNA". It matches the Rfam family "Bacterial small subunit ribosomal RNA", at positions 524 to 776 of the family's 1533-position model. The record is from RNAcentral.